RNAcentral lists this ribosomal RNA (466 nucleotides) under uncultured bacterium. Its description in RNAcentral is "partial 16S ribosomal RNA". It matches the Rfam family "Bacterial small subunit ribosomal RNA", at positions 28 to 507 of the family's 1533-position model. The record is from RNAcentral.
GAUGAACGCUGGCGGCGUGCUUAACACAUGCAAGUCGAACGGAAAGGCUCCUGCUUGCAGGGGUACUCGAGUGGCGAACGGGUGAGUAACACGUGGGUGAUCUGCCCUGCACUUCGGGAUAAGCCUGGGAAACUGGGUCUAAUACCGGAUAGGACGAUGGUUUGGAUGCCAUUGUGGAAAGUUUUUCGGUGUGGGAUGAGCUCGCGGCCUAUCAGCUUGUUGGUGGGGUAAUGGCCUACCAAGGCGUCGACGGGUAGCCGGCCUGAGAGGGUGUACGGCCACAUUGGGACUGAGAUGCGGCCCAGACUCCUACGGGAGGCAGCAGUGGGGAAUAUUGCACAAUGGGCGCAAGCCUGAUGCAGCGACGCCGCGGGGGGGAUGACGGCCUUCGGGUUGUAAACUCCUUUCGCUAGGGACGAAGCGUUUUGUGACGGUACCUGGAGAAGAAGCACCGGCUAACUACGUG